RNAcentral lists this ribosomal RNA (253 nucleotides) under uncultured bacterium. RNAcentral's name for it is "partial 16S ribosomal RNA". It matches the Rfam family "Bacterial small subunit ribosomal RNA", at positions 524 to 776 of the family's 1533-position model. The record is from RNAcentral.
UACGGAGGAUGCAAGCGUUAUCCGGAAUUAUUGGGCGUAAAGCGUCCGUAGGUGGCUGGUCAAGUCUGCUGUCAAAGCGUGGAGCUCAACUCCAUAUCGGCGGUGGAAACUGACGAGCUAGAGUGCGAUAGGGGUAGCAGGAAUUCCCAGUGUAGCGGUGAAAUGUGUAGAGAUUGGGAAGAACACCAGCGGCGAAAGCGUGCUACUGGGUCUGCACUGACACUGAGGGACGAAAGCUAGGGGAGCGAAAGGG